Molecule: ribosomal RNA, 465 nt
Filed under: uncultured bacterium
Lineage: Bacteria
Description: partial 16S ribosomal RNA
Rfam family: Bacterial small subunit ribosomal RNA
Source: RNAcentral
GAUGAACGCUGGCGGCGUGCUUAACACAUGCAAGUCGAACGAUGAAGCCCAGCUUGCUGGGUGGAUUAGUGGCGAACGGGUGAGUAACACGUGAGUAACCUGCCCUUAACUCUGGGAUAAGCCUGGGAAACUGGGUCUAAUACCGGAUAGGAGCGUCCACCGCAUGGUGGGUGUUGGAAAGAUUUAUCGGUUUUGGAUGGACUCGCGGCCUAUCAGCUUGUUGGUGAGGUAAUGGCUCACCAAGGCGACGACGGGUAGCCGGCCUGAGAGGGUGACCGGCCACACUGGGACUGAGACACGCCCAGACUCCUACGGGAGGCAGCAGUGGGGAAUAUUGCACAAUGGGCGAAAGCCUGAUGCAGCGACGCCGCGUGAGGGAUGACGGCCUUCGGGUUGUAAACCUCUUUCAGUAGGGAAGAAGCGAAAGUGACGGUACCUGCAGAAGAAGCACCGGCUAACUACGUG